This 801-nucleotide ribosomal RNA is filed under the name uncultured bacterium. RNAcentral's name for it is "bacterial SSU rRNA". It matches the Rfam family "Bacterial small subunit ribosomal RNA", at positions 81 to 866 of the family's 1533-position model. The record is from RNAcentral.
GCUCCCUGAUGUUAGCGGCGGACGGGUGAGUAACACGUGGGUAACCUGCCUGUAAGACUGGGAUAACUCCGGGAAACCGGGGCUAAUACCGGAUGGUUGUUUGAACCGCAUGGUUCAAACAUAAAAGGUGGCUUCGGCUACCACUUACAGAUGGACCCGCGGCGCAUUAGCUAGUUGGUGAGGUAACGGCUCACCAAGGCAACGAUGCAUAGCCGACCUGAGAGGGUGAUCGGCCACACUGGGACUGAGACACGGCCCAGACUCCUACGGGAGGCAGCAGUAGGGAAUCUUCCGCAAUGGACGAAAGUCUGACGGAGCAACGCCGCGUGAGUGAUGAAGGUUUUCGGAUCGUAAAGCUCUGUUGUUGGGGAAGAACAAGUACCGUUCGAAUAGGGCGGUACCUUGACGGUACCUAACCAGAAAGCCACGGCUAACUACGUGCCAGCAGCCGCGGUAAUACGUAGGUGGCAAGCGUUGUCCGGAAUUAUUGGGCGUAAAGGGCUCGCAGGCGGUUUCUUAAGUCUGAUGUGAAAGCCCCCGGCUCAACCGGGGAGGGUCAUUGGAAACUGGGGAACUUGAGUGCAGAAGAGGAGAGUGGAAUUCCACGUGUAGCGGUGAAAUGCGUAGAGAUGUGGAGGAACACCAGUGGCGAAGGCGACUCUCUGGUCUGUAACUGACGCUGAGGAGCGAAAGCGUGGGGAGCGAACAGGAUUAGAUACCCUGGUAGUCCACGCCGUAAACGAUGAGUGCUAAGUGUUAGGGGGUUUCCGCCCCUUAGUGCUGCAGCUAACGCAUUAAGCA